UACGGAGGGUGCAAGCGUUAUCCGGAUUCACUGGGUUUAAAGGGUGCGUAGGCGGACAGGUAAGUCAGUGGUGAAAUCUCUGGGCUUAACUCAGAAACUGCCGUUGAUACUAUUUGUCUUGAAUAUUCUGGAGGUAAGCGGAAUACGUCAUGUAGCGGUGAAAUGCUUAGAUAUGACAUAGAACACCGAUAGCGAAGGCAGCUUACUACAGAAUGAUUGACGCUGAGGCACGAAAGCGUGGGGAGCAAACAGG
RNAcentral lists this ribosomal RNA (253 nucleotides) under uncultured bacterium. Its description in RNAcentral is "partial 16S ribosomal RNA". It matches the Rfam family "Bacterial small subunit ribosomal RNA", at positions 524 to 776 of the family's 1533-position model. The record is from RNAcentral.